This 265-nucleotide ribosomal RNA is filed under the name uncultured bacterium. RNAcentral's name for it is "partial 16S ribosomal RNA". It matches the Rfam family "Bacterial small subunit ribosomal RNA", at positions 793 to 1055 of the family's 1533-position model. The record is from RNAcentral.
GUCCACGCCCUAAACGAUGUCAACUGGUUGUUGGGUCUUCACUGACUCAGUAACGAAGCUAACGCGUGAAGUUGACCGCCUGGGGAGUACGGCAGCAAGGUUGAAACUCAAAGGAAUUGACGGGGACCCCGCACAAGCGGUGGAUGAUGUGGUUUAAUUCGAUGCAACGCGAAAAACCUUACCCACCUUUGACAUGUACGGAAUUCGCCAGAGAUGGCUUAGUGCUCGAAAGAGAACCGUAACACAGGUGCUGCAUGGCUGUCGU